RNAcentral lists this ribosomal RNA (492 nucleotides) under uncultured bacterium. RNAcentral's name for it is "partial 16S ribosomal RNA". It matches the Rfam family "Bacterial small subunit ribosomal RNA", at positions 29 to 507 of the family's 1533-position model. The record is from RNAcentral.
AGUGAACGCUGGCGGUAGGCCUAACACAUGCAAGUCGAACGGCAGCACAGUAAGAGCCUGCUCUUACGGGUGGCGAGUGGCGGACGGGUGAGGAAUACAUCGGAAUCUACUUUUUCGUGGGGGAUAACGUAGGGAAACUUACGCUAAUACCGCAUACGACCUACGGGUGAAAGCAGGGGAUCUUCGGACCUUGCGCGAUUGAAUGAGCCGAUGUCGGAUUAGCUAGUUGGCGGGGUAAAGGCCCACCAAGGCGACGAUCCGUAGCUGGUCUGAGGGGAUGAUCAGCCACACUGGAACUGAGACACGGUCCAGACUCCUACGGGAGGCAGCAGUGGGGAAUAUUGGACAAUGGGCGCAAGCCUGAUCCAGCCAUACCGCGUGGGUGAAGAAGGCCUUCGGGUUGUAAAGCCCUUUUGUUGGGAAAGAAAAGCAGCAGGUUAAUACCCCGCUGUUCUGACGGUACCCAAAGAAUAAGCACCGGCUAACUUCGUG